UUUCUGAUAUUACUUGCAAUCGAAUUGCAUGUAGUUUAUUUUAAGCUACGUAAAUAUUUUUGGUGCUUUAUAUAUAUUUGUUUUGUUUUACAGAUGAAUAAGUCAGCACUUCUAAUGUUGCUCCUUGUCGGACUUCUCGUCCUCACAGAUACAACCCACGGUGGGUGGGGGCGUCGUCGUCGUAACUGGAACACAGAAAGCCAGAAGCAAAAUCUUAGAGAUAUCAAAGGUGAUUUAGAACUUGAUCGCGACUCAUAUUAUGAUGGGAUGCCCAAAGAUGACACCUAUUAUAAUGCAAUGCCUGCUAAAGAUGACAAUCAAUGAAGAGAAGAUGGCCACCUUAGGUUGAAUAAUUGAUAAAUGUCAUUCACGUGCACGAUUUAAUAUCAAUCAGAAAUAAAUUCAACCAUGGCAUUA
Molecule: long non-coding RNA, 417 nt
Organism: Ciona intestinalis (vase tunicate)
Lineage: Eukaryota; Metazoa; Chordata; Ascidiacea; Phlebobranchia; Cionidae
Source: RefSeq, a predicted model, not a curated record